This 1887-nucleotide unclassified non-coding RNA is filed under the name Hevea brasiliensis (rubber tree). Lineage: Eukaryota; Viridiplantae; Streptophyta; Magnoliopsida; Malpighiales; Euphorbiaceae. The record is from RNAcentral.
UAAAAAAAAAAAACAAAAAAAAUUCCAUCGCAUCCCCUCAUUUGCUUUCUCCUAAUCAGUAAUUAAGCAGCCAGAGGAAAAGCUUACCUCCUCUUCUAUCUGCUUCUGCGUCUCUAAUUCUCUCUCUCUAGAUUCGUGUUUAUCCAGACAAUUCAGUGGCAAUAAACCAGUAAUUUACCUCUCUAGUCUCUACCUUCCCUAUAUAUGCCCCUCUCCCUACUCACUUCUCUCAUUUAUCUUUCUUGUUCCUUCCCGUCUGCCUACUGAUCCAUUAUACUCACUUGGAUUCUAUUACGAGUGGAUUUUGUCGUAGUUUUGCUUUUCUGGGUUCUCUCUGUUUCAAGUUUCUUUAGGUAACCAUGAAUGCUUUAGCAGCUACAAACCGCAAUUUUCGCCACGCAGCACGAAUUCUUGGGUUAGACUCUAAAGUUGAAAAGAGUCUCUUGAUCCCAUUUAGAGAGAUCAAGGUGGAAUGCACAAUUCCCAAGGACGAUGGUACUCUGGUGUCGUACGUUGGAUUCAGGGUGCAACAUGAUAAUGCUCGUGGUCCUAUGAAGGGAGGAAUCAGAUACCAUCCUGAGGUUGACCCUGAUGAAGUAAAUGCGCUGGCUCAACUAAUGACCUGGAAGACUGCUGUAGCAGACAUACCAUAUGGUGGGGCAAAAGGAGGGAUUGGAUGCACCCCAAGGGAGUUAAGUUUGAGUGAGUUAGAACGACUCACCCGUGUCUUCACUCAGAAGAUCCAUGAUCUCAUCGGCAUUCAUACAGAUGUUCCAGCACCUGAUAUGGGCACUAAUUCACAGACCAUGGCAUGGAUAUUGGAUGAAUACUCAAAAUUUCAUGGUCACUCUCCAGCUGUUGUAACAGGGAAGCCCAUAGAUCUUGGUGGAUCACUGGGUAGAGAGGCUGCAACUGGCCGUGGAGUUGUUUAUGCUGCUGAAGCUUUGCUUGCUGAAUAUGGGAAAUCCAUUGGGGGUUUGACAUUUGCUGUUCAGGGUUUUGGGAACGUUGGGUCCUGGGCAGCAAGGCUCAUAAAUGAGAGAGGUGGAAAGGUUAUAGCAGUGAGUGACAUCACUGGUGCGGUCAAGAACCCAAAAGGGCUAGACAUACCGGAAUUACUUAGGCAUAAAGAAGCUACUGGCAGUUUGAGAAAUUUCCAUGGUGGAGACUCUAUGGAUCCCAGUGAAUUGUUGCUACAUGAAUGUGAUGUCCUCAUCCCAUGUGCUUUAGGUGGAGUUCUGAACAGGGAAAAUGCUGCUGAUGUGAAGGCCAAGUUCAUUGUAGAGGCAGCAAACCAUCCAACUGAUCCUGAGGCAGAUGAGAUUCUAUCUAAGAAAGGAGUCAUAAUACUUCCUGACAUAUAUGCCAACGCUGGAGGUGUGACUGUCAGCUAUUUUGAGUGGGUUCAGAAUAUUCAAGGAUUCAUGUGGGAAGAAGAACAGGUGAACAAUGAGCUUCGAAGGUACAUGACUCGUGCCUUUCAUAACAUCAAGAACAUGUGCAAGACUCAUGAUUGCAAUCUUCGGAUGGGUGCCUUUACCCUGGGGGUAAACCGAGUUGCACGUGCUACUCUGUUAAGGGGAUGGGAAGCAUAAAUCGAUUUUGUUUUAGGCUCCAAAUUCCUCCUUUGUUUACCUUUUCAUCCUCGAAUGUAUCCCUGCCUACAGCUGAAGGAGCCAACUUCAAAGCUGUUGAUCCCUUCAGCUAUUUUUCUUUUCCCCUUUUAGAAUCCCAACUUUUUAUUUUUGUUUUUUUAAAAUGAUAUUCCUAUCAACAAUGUCUAGAAAAUUAAUUCCUGCUGUUAGAUUUUGAUGUUGAAAUGGAUAUUUUCUGUUACGAUUCACAUUGACAAGCCAUUUGAAAUAAACUGAAACAUUUUGAUAGUUU